GGGGUUAUAGUUCAGUGGUAGAACGUUUGGAUGGCAUUCAAAAUGUCGACAGUUCGAUUCUGUCUAACUCCA
Molecule: transfer RNA, 72 nt
Filed under: Rickettsia sp.
Lineage: Bacteria; Pseudomonadati; Pseudomonadota; Alphaproteobacteria; Rickettsiales; Rickettsiaceae
Rfam family: tRNA
About the family: Transfer RNA (tRNA) molecules are approximately 80 nucleotides in length. Their secondary structure includes four short double-helical elements and three loops (D, anti-codon, and T loops). Further hydrogen bonds mediate the characteristic L-shaped molecular structure. tRNAs have two regions of fundamental functional importance: the anti-codon, which is responsible for specific mRNA codon recognition, and the 3' end, to which the tRNAs corresponding amino acid is attached (by aminoacyl-tRNA synthetases). tRNAs cope with the degeneracy of the genetic code in two manners: having more than one tRNA (with a specific anti-codon) for a particular amino acid; and 'wobble' base-pairing, i.e. permitting non-standard base-pairing at the 3rd anti-codon position.
Source: Rfam by way of RNAcentral